CAGCAUAAAAAUAGCUUGCUAUUUUGGUGGCGACCGGCGCACGGGUGAGUAACGCGUAUGCAACCUACCUUACACUGGGGGAUAGCCCGAAGAAAUUCGGAUUAAUACCCCAUAGUAUUAUCGAGAGGCAUUUUUUGAUAAUUAAAGCUCCGGCGGUGUAAGAUGGGCAUGCGUCCCAUUAGCUAGAUGGUGAGGUAACGGCUCACCAUGGCUACGAUGGGUAGGGGGCCUGAGAGGGUGGUCCCCCACACUGGUACUGAGACACGGACCAGACUCC
RNAcentral lists this ribosomal RNA (277 nucleotides) under unidentified marine bacterioplankton. Its description in RNAcentral is "partial 16S ribosomal RNA". It matches the Rfam family "Bacterial small subunit ribosomal RNA", at positions 65 to 339 of the family's 1533-position model. RNAcentral also lists the same sequence under 1 other name. The record is from RNAcentral.